UUGCUUCGGCAGCACAUAUGCUAAAAUUGGAAUGAUAAAGAGAGGAUUAGCAUGGUCCCUGCACAAGGAUGACAGACAAACUCAUGAAUUGUUCCAUAUUUUU
Small nuclear RNA from Ursus americanus (American black bear), 103 nucleotides. The record is from Ensembl. NCBI's taxonomy places the organism in Eukaryota, Metazoa, Chordata, Mammalia, Carnivora, Ursidae.